UACCUACGGGGGGCAGCAGUGGGGAAUAUUGCACAAUGGGGGAAACCCUGAUGCAGCAACGCCGCGUGAAGGAAGACGGUUUUCGGAUUGUAAACUUCUUUUGUGCGGGAGCAAUAAGGGCCACGUGUGGCCCGAUGAGAGUACCGCACGAAUAAGCAUCGGCUAACUCCGUGCCAGCAGCCGCGGUAAUACGGGGGAUGCGAGCGUUAUCCGGAUUUAUUGGGUUUAAAGGGCGCGUAGGCGGCGCUUCAGGUCAGCGGUGAAAUACCGGGGCUCAACCCCGGGGCUGCCGUUGAAACCGGAGC
Molecule: ribosomal RNA, 305 nt
Filed under: uncultured bacterium
Lineage: Bacteria
Description: bacterial SSU rRNA
Rfam family: Bacterial small subunit ribosomal RNA
Source: RNAcentral